RNAcentral lists this long non-coding RNA (206 nucleotides) under Elaeis guineensis (African oil palm). RNAcentral's name for it is "long non-coding RNA (EGUI_LNC082960)". Lineage: Eukaryota; Viridiplantae; Streptophyta; Magnoliopsida; Arecales; Arecaceae. The record is from RNAcentral.
ACUUACCUGACCAACAUAGUGAAUCAUAUUUUGAUUAGAUCACUUAAUGAUUGGAGUUGACCUAUGUUAACUAGAAAAUUAGUAUGACUGAUUUAGGUGUCCCUAGUUCAACUUAUCUUGAGUCCUCUUUAUGACUUGGUGAAGCCAGUAAGAUGAUUCAUGAUUGGUUGGCUAGACCAACUUAUGUCUAAUCUUCUUAAAUCUGA